This is a non-coding RNA of Schistosoma haematobium, 46 nucleotides long. NCBI's taxonomy places the organism in Eukaryota, Metazoa, Platyhelminthes, Trematoda, Strigeidida, Schistosomatidae. The record is from Rfam.
ACAUUACUGAAGAGUCUCACAAUAGGACGAAACGGUCGUCUAAUGC